RNAcentral lists this ribosomal RNA (305 nucleotides) under uncultured bacterium. RNAcentral describes it as "bacterial SSU rRNA". It matches the Rfam family "Bacterial small subunit ribosomal RNA", at positions 334 to 638 of the family's 1533-position model. The record is from RNAcentral.
UGUUCCUACGGGGCGCAGCAGUGGGGAAUAUUGCACAAUGGGGGAAACCCUGAUGCAGCGACGCCGCGUGAGUGAAGAAGUAAUUCGUUACGUAAAGCUCUAUCAGCAGGGAAGAAAUACUGACCUUACGGUCAGCAGACGGUACCUGAGUAAGAAGCCCCGGCUAACUACGUGCCAGCAGCCGCGGUAAUACGUAGGUGGCAAGCGUUAUCCGGAUUUACUGGGUGUAAAGGGCGUGUAGGCGGGGACGCAAGUCAGAUGUGAAAACCACGGGCUCAACCUGUGGCCUGCAUUUGAAACUGGGG